This 513-nucleotide ribosomal RNA is filed under the name Urotheca fulviceps. RNAcentral's name for it is "partial 16S ribosomal RNA". It matches the Rfam family "Bacterial large subunit ribosomal RNA", at positions 1816 to 2597 of the family's 2925-position model. Lineage: Eukaryota; Metazoa; Chordata; Lepidosauria; Squamata; Dipsadidae. The record is from RNAcentral.
AACCUUUAGCCAAGCAAAUAUUAAAGGCAACGCCUGCCCAGUGAACAAUUAAACGGCCGCGGUACCCUAACCGUGCAAAGGUAGCAUAAUCAUUUGUCUAUUAAUUGUAGACCAGUAUGAAAGGCAAAAUGAGGACCUCCCUGUCUCUUAUAAUAAAUCAAUUAAACUGAUCUCCUAGUAAAAAAGCUAGAAUUUAAACAUAAGACCAGAAGACCCUGUGAAGCUUAAACUAAACUAUUAAACCAUAUAAUAACUACUUUUGGUUGGGGCGACCUUGGAAAAAAAAAGAACUUCCAAAUAAAUGAUAAUAACUCAUACAUAACUCUAGGCCAACAAGCCUACUAAAAUGACCCAGUACAGCUGAUAAUUGAACCAAGUUACUCCAGGGAUAACAGCGCCAUCUUCUUCAAGAGCCCAUAUCAAAAAGAAGGUUUACGACCUCGAUGUUGGAUCAGGACAUCCUAAUGGUGCAACCGCUAUUAAGGGUUCGUUUGUUCAACGAUUAAUAGUCCU